RNAcentral lists this ribosomal RNA (421 nucleotides) under uncultured bacterium. RNAcentral's name for it is "bacterial SSU rRNA". It matches the Rfam family "Bacterial small subunit ribosomal RNA", at positions 420 to 856 of the family's 1533-position model. The record is from RNAcentral.
GGGUUGUAAACCUCUUUUCACAGGGAAGAAUAAUGGCGGUACCUGUGGAAUAAGCUUCGGCUAACUACGUGCCAGCAGCCGCGGUAAUACGUAGGAAGCAAGCGUUAUCCGGAUUUAUUGGGCGUAAAGUGAGCGUAGGUGGUCUUUCAAGUUGGAUGUAAAAUUUCCCGGCUUAACCGGGACGAGUCAUUCAAUACUGUUGGACUAGAGUACAGCAGGAGAAAACGGAAUUCCCGGUGUAGUGGUAAAAUGCGUAGAUAUCGGGAGGAACACCAGAGGCGAAGGCGGUUUUCUAGGUUGUCACUGACACUGAGGCUCGAAAGCGUGGGGAGCGAACAGAAUUAGAUACUCUGGUAGUCCACGCCGUAAACGAUGGACACUAGGUAUAGGGAGUUUCGACCCUCUCUGUGCCGAAGCUAAC